CAGAGUUUGAAAAAUAGUCAUAAAUUAAUGUUCUGUGCUGACUUGAAGGAAAAUUCCCUACGUGUAUUCCCAAACACAUCAGGCCAUAAUUGUGCAUGAGUGUGUGUGUGUGUGUGUGUGUGUGUGUGUGUUUUAAGAGGAUGUGCAAAAUAAUUGAAUAAUGUAAUAGUGUUGCUGUUUUCUAAAAAGCUCUGA
Non-coding RNA from Podarcis lilfordi (Lilford's wall lizard), 195 nucleotides. The record is from the annotation of a GenBank genome assembly. NCBI's taxonomy places the organism in Eukaryota, Metazoa, Chordata, Lepidosauria, Squamata, Lacertidae.